This 269-nucleotide ribosomal RNA is filed under the name uncultured prokaryote. RNAcentral describes it as "partial 16S ribosomal RNA". It matches the Rfam family "Bacterial small subunit ribosomal RNA", at positions 524 to 792 of the family's 1533-position model. The record is from RNAcentral.
UACGUAGGUGGCAAGCGUUAUCCGGAAUUAUUGGGCGUAAAGAGCGCGCAGGUGGUUGAUUAAGUCUGAUGUGAAAGCCCACGGCUUAACCGUGUAGGGUCAUUGGAAACUGGUCGACUUGAGUGCAGAAGAGGGAAGUGGAAUUCCAUGUGUAGCGGUGAAAUGCGUAGAGAUAUGGAGGAACACCAGUGGCGAAGGCGGCUUCCUGGUCUGUAACUGACACUGAGGCGCGAAAGCGUGGGGAGCAAACAGGAUUAGAUACCCCGGUA